Molecule: ribosomal RNA, 459 nt
Filed under: uncultured Enterobacteriaceae bacterium
Lineage: Bacteria; Pseudomonadati; Pseudomonadota; Gammaproteobacteria; Enterobacterales; Enterobacteriaceae
Description: bacterial SSU rRNA
Rfam family: Bacterial small subunit ribosomal RNA
Source: RNAcentral
CACAAGCGGUGGAUGAUGUGGAUUAAUUCGAUGCAACGCGAAGAACCUUACCUACCCUUGACAUGUCCGGAACUUGCCAGAGAUGGCUUGGUGCCCGAAAGGGAAUCGGAACACAGGUGCUGCAUGGCUGUCGUCAGCUCGUGUCGUGAGAUGUUGGGUUAAGUCCCGCAACGAGCGCAACCCUCGUCCUUAGUUGCUAACAGUUCGGCUGAGCACUCUAGGGAGACUGCCUUCGCAAGGAGGAGGAAGGUGAGGACGACGUCAAGUCAUCAUGGCCCUUACGAGUAGGGCUACACACGUGCUACAAUGGCAUAUACAAAGAGAAGCGAACUCGCGAGAGCAAGCGGACCUCAUAAAGUAUGUCGUAGUCCGGAUUGGAGUCUGCAACUCGACUCCAUGAAGUCGGAAUCGCUAGUAAUCGUAGAUCAGAAUGCUACGGUGAAUACGUUCCCGGGUCUU